UCUGGAAUCAACUGAGGAAAUGUAUUAAAAAGUUCUAUUGUCAAGCAUUAAUUUAAAUGGCAUGGUGAUGAUUUAUGAGACAAGAAAAUACCAUAACCAAUACAAAAUAAUUUACAAGAUACAGAAAAUGUCAUAAUCAAACAAUUGAGUUAAAAUAAUGUAAAGGUAUUCUCGAUUUACAAUGAACUCUUUAAAAGAAUGCCUUCCACUCCUAU
This 215-nucleotide long non-coding RNA is filed under the name Carica papaya (papaya). RNAcentral's name for it is "long non-coding RNA (CPAP_LNC014302)". The record is from RNAcentral. Lineage: Eukaryota; Viridiplantae; Streptophyta; Magnoliopsida; Brassicales; Caricaceae.